AAAAUUUCCUCUCGACGCUCUCGACUCUCGACGGCGAUUUGGUAAACCCACCAUCGCGAUUGGUCUCCCUCGGAUCCUGAAGGUAAAUCGAAGGCUUGUCUGCUAUUUUCAUCGAUCUAGAGUCUCUGCUUCUUCUUUUUCUCUCAGUCUAGGGUUCGGUUUUUCGAUUUGGGGUUUUUUCGUUUCAAAAUUAGGGUUUGAAUACGAUUUUGGUAUAAAACGAAAGGGGGGUUUUGGUUUAAAUCGUUUCAAUCG
Molecule: long non-coding RNA, 255 nt
Filed under: Brassica napus (rape)
Lineage: Eukaryota; Viridiplantae; Streptophyta; Magnoliopsida; Brassicales; Brassicaceae
Description: long non-coding RNA (BNAP_LNC021628)
Source: RNAcentral